RNAcentral lists this ribosomal RNA (453 nucleotides) under uncultured bacterium. RNAcentral's name for it is "bacterial SSU rRNA". It matches the Rfam family "Bacterial small subunit ribosomal RNA", at positions 28 to 507 of the family's 1533-position model. The record is from RNAcentral.
GAUCAACGCUGGCGGUGCGCCUUAUGCAUGCAAGUCGAACGGUCUCGAUUUAUCGGGACAGUGGCAGACGGGUGAGUAAUGCGUAGGUGACCUGCCCCCAAGUAGGGGAUAACCUCGAGAAAUUGGGGCUAAUACUGUAUGUGCCGAUAGGGUAGAUACCCUGUCAGUAAAGCCUUCGGGUGCUUGGGAGGGCUUACGUCCGAUUAGCUGGUUGGUAGGGUAAUGGCCUACCAAGGUUAUGAUCGGUAGCUGGUCUGAGAGGAUGGUCAGCCACACUGGGACUGAGACACGGCCCAGACUCCUACGGGAGGCAGCAGCAAGGAAUUUUGUGCAAUGGGCGAAAGCCUGACACAGCGACACCGCGUGGGGGAAGAAGGCCUUUGGGUCGUAAACCCCUUUUCCCGGGGAAGAACAAUGACGGUACCCGGGGAAUAAGCCCCGGCUAACUACGUG